This 68-nucleotide transfer RNA is filed under the name Nysius fuscovittatus. RNAcentral's name for it is "tRNA-Val". Lineage: Eukaryota; Metazoa; Arthropoda; Insecta; Hemiptera; Lygaeidae. The record is from RNAcentral.
CAAGUUAUACCUUAAGAGGUUGUAUUAUUUACAAUAAUACAUUGUUUGUGCAAUUCAUUCUGGCUUGA